Long non-coding RNA from Cebus imitator (Panamanian white-faced capuchin), 365 nucleotides. RefSeq lists it as uncharacterized. The transcript is spliced from 2 exons. Lineage: Eukaryota; Metazoa; Chordata; Mammalia; Primates; Cebidae. The record is from RefSeq and is a predicted model, not a curated record.
AUACAGCAACAGAAGCCGACAUGACGCAUGAAAGCAUCACAGAAAGCAAAGAAGCCCAACAUUUCAGAAAAGGAAGAGAGUAGGAGAGGCGAUGGCGGACCCCAGAUCCUUCCCAUUUGAUUGACCCCCAACUGGAAGGUGUUAGGUGAGACUGUCUUCACUAAAUGACUCAGAAAAACCCAAAUGGCUUCAAGGCAAAAGGCAACCUCAUCAUCUGUUAUCUAUCCAGCUUUGAGUUUUCCUUUCUCCAGGAUCAAUAAUCUCUUACUUUGCACUCAUUCCUUCCCUCCUGACACCCAUCAGGUAAAACACCUAUAAUCACUCAUCAGAACCUGCUCACUGGAAUUAAAAUUUUACUUGUCUCA